AAUUUUUGGUGGAGGCACAGGAAAUGAAACAGGUGAAGACUUGCUUGGAGUGGAUGCUGGAUGAAAUGAGCACGAUCAACGAACCUCAAAUCUGAGUUUACAUUGUGGUAGUGAUGUUAUUCCACUGCCAUUGUUGCAUCGGUAGAAUGUCAGCCAAUUGGACUGUUUAGAGCCCCUUUUUGAAGACAGGCCAAAUGACUCAAUUAGUGUAACUUGUGAUUGUCUGGUUGAGCCUCCCAUGGAUAAAUCAUUUGCAUUGCCAGAUGAAUGAAAUCUGUUAAGACAGAGGCGAUGUCUUGGGAUGUUAUCUGGGAGGUUUUUGACAAGAAAGCACACAAAGCUCUUUGUGGUAAUAGCUCUAACACCUGUACGUUGGACCCCUGCUUCAUCCUCCUCGUUAUGAUGGAUAAGAAGGAAAUAGGAUCUGGAAGAAGGCCCACGCCCAGACAGUGAAAUGCAAGCAGAGACCAAUCUGUCAAGCACGAAAGACCAGAUCCGCACGUGGAGAUUCAAUUAAACUGAUUUAUUGCUAAAAGCCUAUGCACAGGAAUCUUCUCAGCUAACGGUCAGCACCUGGCUAGAUUUAGAUAAAGAUCAAUGGCAUUCAAGGGGGGAGGGUGGCUUUAGUUUAACUGUGGCUAUGUAGGGAUUCAAGAUUAAUCCCCAUUUUCACCCUACCCCCAGGUUCUGCCAUUCCUUCUCCUAUGCAAUCCUUUAUUUGUUUACAUCUAAUAAACAGAAUCUUGUCAAA
This is a long non-coding RNA of Pantherophis guttatus, 751 nucleotides long. RefSeq lists it as uncharacterized. Lineage: Eukaryota; Metazoa; Chordata; Lepidosauria; Squamata; Colubridae. The record is from RefSeq and is a predicted model, not a curated record.